AUGAAAGCACGGAGGCCUACGGCUGGUCACGGUCAGCUGCGGGAAGCAAGGCACGACAAAGGGCCUGAACCCGCCAGAGUCGGGACAAAGGCGAGCUCCGGCGACGGGACUUGGCGGCGGGGCCGACUAGAACUGCUGCUGGUGGCGCCCGGCGUCCCUGGUGAAGCGGCGGCCAUGGACUUGUCUGAAGAGGACGGCUCGGGCAGGAGGCGCGAGCACAGGGACUUGGCUGGCGGGCCUCCUCAACGCAGGAAGCAGUGGGCGAUGGCGCUGGUCGCAGAGCAAGGCAAGGUCGAAGGAGCAGGAGAUAGCACGCAGGCGAACUUGAUGACGAGGGCCCUGGUCGCGGGCGCGCGAGGAAGAAAAGACGAAGGCCAUGGUAGGAGGCGCGGCGGCGCUCUCCGGCAGCUCGAGGCGAAGGUGAACGGAGGCGAGGAGGCCGACGGGCUUCGGCCUGGCUCCCUGAACCGAAGGAGGAGGGAGGAAGGCAGGGGCGCGCUGGUCGACGACGAGGGCGACGGGGAGGUCUGGUGGCGCGGCACCAAGGGCAGCAAGGAGGAGGACGGGCGCGGGGGUCUCGCGGCAUGUAGAGGAGCUCCGCUCCGGUGGCGAGGGAACCCUGGCCUGGAUGGCGUCAGGAGGCGCGAGGGAAUUGGGGAGAGAGAUGGAUCGAGAGGAGGGAGAGAUGGCGCAAGGGAACGAGGGGGAUGA
RNAcentral lists this ribosomal RNA (711 nucleotides) under Triticum aestivum (bread wheat). RNAcentral describes it as "partial small subunit ribosomal RNA". The record is from RNAcentral. Lineage: Eukaryota; Viridiplantae; Streptophyta; Magnoliopsida; Poales; Poaceae.